Molecule: long non-coding RNA, 1459 nt
Organism: Chlorocebus sabaeus (green monkey)
Lineage: Eukaryota; Metazoa; Chordata; Mammalia; Primates; Cercopithecidae
Source: RefSeq, a predicted model, not a curated record
CGCCCCGGGCUGCGUUUCUUGGCGCCGCGCGCGCCUGACCGGCCUGGAGGAGCGCUGGGCAGCUGGCGAAUCCCUGCCCGUGGCUGUCGAAGGGCCGCUCCUCCCUCAGUGCCGACUGUGGGCGGCGGACGCGCCAAACCCCGCCUGGCGUGGGACUUUCGCGUCCCCACUACGGUGACGGCGGAAGGCGCGCCCCUGCCCCACGUGGGAUCCUUCCCGGGCUGCCGUGCUCCCUCGGAGGGGGGGCGCCCGGCGGCGUCCCUGCUGCUGCGGCUCCAUGCAUCGGCCCUUCGCGGCCGGCACAGAGGGGAUCUCAGUUUAAAGUCUAGGUCCUGCCACUCACAGCUUAGGAAGCCAAUGACUGAGACCAUGAUCUCACUGCACAGGAAGCCAAUGACUGAGAUGAUUGUUGGGUGAUGCAGCCUGGAAGAUGGGAGGGUCUCCUUCAAACACCUGCAAAGCAUAUUGAUUGGAGAGCUUCUGACCAAUUUGGGGAUCCUCCAGGCAUCAUCUCAAAUUUGAGGUAUCCCAACGAAGCGUAUGGCAUGGUUAAUUGAGACUAUUUAUGAAGACUGUGGUCCCAAAUGGAGGUAUGAGGAUAAGCAGUUGAUAGAAGGUGCUCAAACAGAAAUCACCAUUACCUUGAACAAACACAUGCUGAGUCUCUUUGGGGACUGCUUGUCUGGCUGAAGCACCUCCACGGUACCUGGAAGCCUGAUUUUCAUAAGCAUCACUGAUGUUGGGUCAUAGAGGAUUUGCGACUGAAGACUUUUCCACAGGUGCUGCACUCGUGGAGCUUCUCUCCAGGGUGCACUCUCUGAUGGUGAGUGAGCCACCUUUUCUGCAGGAAAGUUUUCCUACAUGCAAUGCACUCAUGGGGCUUGUCUCCAUUAUGAAUUUUCUGAUGCUGAUUAUGGGAUGAGCCGUCAAAGAAAACCUUCCCACACUCAUUAUCUUCGGAAUGCGUCUCUACAGUGUGCACUGUCCUGUGUCGAAUGAGGGAUGACUGGUCCAACAGAGCUCUGCCCUGCCCCUGCAUUCCUAGGGCCACUCUCCAGGGCGGGUUAGCUGUGGCCGGAAUAGCUUUCCCGCUGAAGGGCUCUCCACACGCUGUGCGUUCAUAAGGACUUUCUCCAGGAUGAGUUCACCGAUGUCCAGUAAGGGUUAAUCAGUUGUAGAAAGUUUUCAUUGCAUUCAAAGGGGCUCUUCCCAGGGUGUGACAGCAGUGUUUCUUUUUUCAUUUUUAAUUAAUGUUAUAGAGACAAGGUCUCACUGUGUUGCCCAAGCUAGUCUCAAACUCCUAGGCACAAGUGAUCCUCCCAAAGUGCUGGGAUUACAGGCAUGAACCACCACGCCGGCUGACAUCAGGUUUUUCUUAAGGCUCCUACAGCUGAAGCCUUUUCUGCUUUCUUUUUUGUUUUUUCUUUUUUAUUAUACUUUAAGUUCUAGGGUACAUGUG